Grus americana (Whooping crane) is the source of this 14934-nucleotide long non-coding RNA. RefSeq lists it as uncharacterized. The transcript is spliced from 10 exons. NCBI's taxonomy places the organism in Eukaryota, Metazoa, Chordata, Aves, Gruiformes, Gruidae. The record is from RefSeq and is a predicted model, not a curated record.
AUUGUUGCUGAUGUUGAAUUUCCUGAGGAAAAAAACCAACAAAACAAAACCCAACAACCCAACACCAACCUUUCCUGUCUCGAAUCUGACAAAGUAAACAGGAUUAAUUCGCCAUAUGAAAAAACGUUAAUGCCGCCUUAACAAAUGCAGAAAUCAGAAGAGAAAGCGGUUUUAACAGGACGUACAAUAUUAAUAGUUUGAACGUAUGAUCGUAAAAAUGAAAAGCCAUUGAUAUACGCUUAAAAGCCGCCGUAUACGCUGAUUGCUCAAGCAUUAAUGAAGAAUGCCCCAGAUUAACUAUUUGCUCUUCGAGGGAUGCAGCAAUAUAACUAUCUAUUAGCACCAUUAGAUGCUUUGCUAUUUAUUUGAAAACACCCCUGCGAGUGGGUUGAGGCAGAACAGAUGAAUGUAAAAAUGAACUGCAGCUAAUUUCGCUAAAUAAUACUCGAAACCUGAGCGCCUCGCAAGGAAGGGGGAGAUUCUCAACUCUCCUUCUCCGAGCCUAAUGACAAUAGAAAUGCUCUGUUUUAAAAGUAAGACCGUAUUGAUUUUCCAAAUAAACAAAUGCAUCCCUCCUGCCAUUUUAGUGCAGAUGUAAAUUUAUUUUAAUGAGAGGGAGUGGAAGGAUUUAUUUUGGUAAAAUAGAGUUGGGGAUAGAGCCGGUGUAAAUCUUUAGGUUUUAAAAAAGAGGAGGAAGGAGGGGGAAGCUGCUUUCCUGGCAGAAAGCUGCCUAACAGUCCUCUAAUUCUUUCUAGAUUAAAUCGCAAUAUGAAUACAGCAUCGAACAAAUACCGAGUUUCGCUCUGAACUCAGUGGAAAGCAGUUACGUCUAACAGAAUUCAAUGAAUUCCUCUUCUCCCUCAAUGUAGUAUGUGUGUGUUUUUCUCUUCCACCACACUGAAGUUCCAUGAAUAGGGAAAGUGGCUCCUAUUGUGUGCCUCUGAACUUCCAAGUCAAUGCAAUUUUUAACCACUGGCUUGUGGUACUUUGAAAAUCACCAGGGGCUGUCAGAGUUGGGUCCUCUGAAAAAUUUACAGUGCUAAAUCAGAGCAUAUGCUGUGAGAGAGGAAAAAAAAUUGCUUAAGAUUGGAGCAAGUACAGUAUCUGGCUGCCCCCUAGUGUAAGUCUCUUAUCUGCCUAAAAUUCAACUUUAAAAGAAAAGGAUCUCUUAAAGGGAAACGACUUUUGGCUCACGUAUGCAUACGAGAAUGAAACUUCUGUACAUUUUAAUCUGAUUAAUUCCUAAGGAUUUAAAAUUAAUUGGCUUGGGCACUCCUAGACCGGACUAUAAGAUUUCUGCAUCAGGGUUUCUGCGAGCGCUGUACCGAAUAGGUAUUUUUAAGGCAUAGUGGUAAGGGAUGGGGGGGGGGAAUCCUGUUUUGUGAAUUUUUUUUUUAAAUGAGGAACCGUGCAUCGCAUGCUGUUGUCAGAGCAAAACACUUUUGCUGCUUAAAGUCAGAUCUACGUCUUUUGCAAUAAUAAUUAAAAAAAAAAAAAAGGAUAAAUAAUUGCCUUAAAGCCUCAGCCGAACUGCCAACCACACCUUCGGAUGUCAGAAGACAGAAAUAUGUGAACUGCUGAGAGAGGUGGGUACUUUUUGCCCCGAGCGCAGCACUUCAUAAAGCCAUGAAAAGGACAUCCCAGGCACCAGGACCCGAGCCCAGGCUUGUCACGGAGUAUAAAAGGAGAGAGAAGGGGAGUUUUUAUCUCUUUGCCCCGCCAACUCUUGAUAGUUCUAAGUUUCAGUGUGACAAUAAACCAGUUUUGAUAACACAGCUCAUGGGUUUCUCUGCCACAUAAAGUUUUCUUAAUAAUAAAGAAGAAGAAACUUUAUCCCUGCUAAAUUAAAAUAGGGCAGAUGUUGGAUAUGGUUCAUAUUAGCCAGCCUUUCACCCCUUUGCCCCUGGCACUAAAGUUCUGACUUUUUCUUUCUACUAUGUCUGUUUCUAACUGAAAGGUAUUAUUCCUGCCCUAGCUCUCUUCUUCUAUUUAUUUUUUCAGUGUCUAAAUUUAAACCUAUUCAUUUAGUAAUAUACAUUCUAUUUCAGAUUGCUAAACCUGGCCAGAGAGGGAAAAUGUUUUCCAAAAAGUGAUGCACCACUGACCUUAAAAGAAAACACGAGGCAGGGAAAGCUGUUCUUAAAAGGUUUAUUUCUAGAGAGUUUUGUAGCUCUGUUGACAUUAUAGGGAUAAUGGCCGUAUUGCAACGGGCUUUCAAGGCCCAAGAGGUUUACGUUUUCUUCUGACCAUAAGUAUAAUAAAAUUUUAAAGGUGCACAAAGUCUCAUCACUUUAGAUAUUUAAAACUGGAUUGAAAAAACUGUUGGGAAACAUACAUUAUAGUGGACAGCCCUGCUCAGAAAGCAGGGGAUAGAAAAAAAAAUAAAAAAAAAUACCCCAAACCCAAAGGCAAACAAAAAGCCCCAGGUUUUCAUGAAAACCCUGGCUAUUAAACUCCCUAGGAUAGCACAGCUCUUUCCUCCAGGGCUGUGAAGAUAGAAUUUAUUGUCCAUUUGGAACUAUCAAGUUUAAGCUAAUAAAAGGCCCUCUGUAAGCAGAAAUGCCCAAGUUGACGUUUGGCAGAGUUUUCAAUGGUAGAGUUUAUAUAGGAUGGGGGCUCUGCACUAUUUGAAAUUAUUCAUAUUCUCAGCAGCUGAAGAUGAUUCGACAUAGAGAAGUAAACGUUAGUAGGCAACGGCUGAAGGUUAAUCAGCAUUGCUUUCUGAACUGGACGGUUGAAAGCAGGAAAAAGCGAAAGCUGCUCUCUCUAGCCCUUCCCUUUGCUAAGGCGCUGCUAACUUUUAUGAUUUUUUUUUUUUUCUUCCUCUUUUACUAUCUGUCUUUGUGCCUGAGGGCCAGUGAAAGAACACUGCAGAUUCUAGAUUGCUUUCAGAGUUUCCCUUUGCUGAUGAUGGAUUACCAUGUCAAUUUAAACGGCAUAGGAUUAAUUUGUUUCAAUGAUUUCUCUUUAGGCUGAAUGCCAGUCUUUUUUUCCAUCUCUCUCCUUACUUAAUAAUAAUAAUAAUAAUAAUAAUAAUAAUAAUAAUUCUUCCUUAAAAACCCCAAACACUUUUGAUAUGCCGCAUUAAAGAGACAAUAAUAGAAAUAGACAAGUUAGGUGUAAUGUUGCAACACAGUUAUGGGUUUGAGUGUUUUUAUCUCUUUCUAAGGGGCUGAAGCAUACAGUCAGUCACAUUAAAAUGAAAUUGGAUCCAACGUUUAUUCAAUAAAUACUUGUCUUGUAGGUAAUCCAGAGCAGAGUGCUUUUGACACAUAAGGACUUAAUUUGUCUUGGAUAACAAGUUAUUAAUAUGGCACAUUUAAACUUGCCACCUACAAUAAGGUCAUUUAGAUCUAUAAUACAACUCGCAAGAGAACUUCAUAAAGCCAGAAACAAAGUUUGAAACUGCCUCCGAGUUGGGGAGCAGACGCACGGCUCACGGUUCGCUCUUUUCAGAAGAAAGUUCAGAGCAAGUAGGAGCAACCCAAACCCAAACGGUGUGCAUCUGCUCUUCUUUGAAAGGCAAACAUAAACGGAGUAAGGAGCGGGGGGGGGGAAAAAAAAGAAAAAGGAACCCAAACACGCAUUUUUGAAUGAGUAAGCUUUAAAGCUGUGCUGCGUCUGCUAGCAAACUCAUUGCAGCUUUGAAAGUGAAAAAACAACAUUUGGUUCCGAGUGGAAAUUCGCCCGCAUUUGCACCCUACCUCUUCCAUGUGCUUUGCAAUUUACUUGCUUUUAAUAAUAAGCAAGGAAGUUGGAACAUAAUCCACCCAUAAACGUUAUUGCUGUAAUUUGACUGUGCUGUGUUUGUUCAUGCAUUAGCCGUAUAUGUAAAGUGAAAUGGGGAUGUAUGGUGGUGAUCCCCGUGCAGCCUGAACAAACAGAGAUGUUUUGGUACAUACUGGAUUUCAACCCCCCAAAUACUCCGCAAUUGUUUUUAAAUUUGGAAAGCUGGACGUGAGGUUUCAGACCUGUCCUAACUGAACAAUGCCUGCAAGAGGUGCAUCAGGAGGGGAAUCUCAUGGCCACGCUAUACACGACGUGUUUUGCGGCUGUCGAUUCGGUCUCCACACCGUAUGCGUGAGCUUUAUUAUCCUGUUUUUAUAUAUUAAGCUCUUGGUUGCUCUUGUCCUGGCAGAUUCUGUCUCUUUAAGUAGCUAAAUCUCAUUUUUAAGCUCUUCUUGGGAAAAGGAUGUUACACAUGAGUAGAAAAAUGCAGGCAAGAAAGGCUAAUUGAAUGAAAAGAGAGAAUUAGGUUAAAAAUAGAGUACAAUCUAGUAUCACAUUUUCACUAGUGUAACCUGAAAUGAAGGUGUCUCCAAGUCCCUAGUGAUGCCAGAGUGUUUAGAUGUUGGGCACAGAUGGAGACACCUAUUGAAAUGUGUCUGAAGAAGAUUAAUAGGACUUGUCAGUGUUGGGAAAGCACUGCUUUGCUGUAAAUUUCUACUAGCACAAGAUGAAUUACCGAUGAAUGCUCAGUUAUCAACCCCAUCACUAUCAUUGGACACUAAAUCAAAUUGAGCAGUUAUCUACAAUCAGAAAAUUUCUUUUAAAAAUAGGCAUACACCUUUAGGCUUAAACUCUUUAAUAAGACAAUAUCCUCUAUGGUAUGUGUGUGUUCACGAAGGGAUAUGAUUUAAAGUUUCUCUACAAAAAGCUCUGUUUGGAAACGAACUCCAAGUUUAGUAUGAAAUCAGGGUUGUCAAACAAUAGAAGACAUUCCGAAAAUACUGGUUAUACAAUAUAAUGUUCAGCUGGGGGCCUGAUCCAAAAUGGAUUUUCAUGUAUGUCAUUAGAUUUUGGAUCCGUCCCUAUUUGUGAGAGGUUUUUUUUUUUUCCAUUGCUCCCCUCCCCUUAUUUUUGGUGAUGAUAAAAAACUUCUCUCUACCUUAAAGACUGAGCAUCCUAAUCAUAUAUUAAUGCAAAAUAGCUGUCAAGACUCAGGAUAUACAUAUAAUAAUGAUGCCACCCCCCCAACAUAUUUAGGAAAUUACAGCUUAAUAUAAUGAAAUAGGUGAUGAAAGAAUCAACAAAUUAUAUUUUAACUGAAAAUAUUUCCUCUUCUCCUUUAUAAAAGAGGAAACUGUCACAAGCAAAACCAUCACAAGCAUUUACCAGCCCACCGUUAAAGUAUAUUAGCUGUAUUUACCAUGUGAUGCUGCUGCUGACUGCGAUAUUAAAUAAGCAUUCUAUAUUUUUAAUUCCUAGGAUUUCUUUCCCUCUCACCCAGGCAUUGUACUUCUUCAUCCCAGGAGAUUUAUCGUGGCAUGUUUUCCGAAGUCAAUUUUUCCCUUUUAUUAUAGACAAGGGCAGUCAUUUAUGUUUAGGGAGGGAGACAGGUACAGUGCCUUUAUCUGAUCUGUGUCCCCAGCCACAACCACCUUCUUAAUCGACGGCAAAUUCCCACUCUGGAGAAUCAGGCCCUAUCUGGGCUACUUCUCAGCCAAGGAAUGUAUCCUUCCCUUCAUCUCCACAUAUCUUACCUGUGAUGUAUGCUACUUUUGGAGGAGGGAAUAAUAUGCUGUUUACCACAAAGCGCAGCUUCAAAGCCUUUGUGUGUUUCUCAUCUCCAGCCAAAGCUUAGUAUUUACCACCUUAAAAAUUUACCCGGGUAAGGGAUAGUAGCAGUAAUUGUCUUCAUUUUUACAUCCCAAUUUUCACGCAGCAAAUGCCCUGCAUUAGGGCCAGAUUCUCACUCAGAUGGAAGUUAUUAACAUUAAGCAGAACGGAGCCGAUUUCAGCCAGCCACAGCCCAUGCCCUUCUAACGGAGUUGCUUUAAAGCAUCCCCUUGUUUAUUUUUUUCUUUGGAGGGCAUGAUUCUUUAAACAUGUUUGUUUUACACAGAGCGGCAGUUGAUUCCUAACUUUUUUUUCCCCACAAGCAUGUAAAGAGAAUAUUAAUAGGGAAUAUUAAUAGAGCUGGGUGCAGCAUGAUGCUAGUUAGAUUGUAGUAGCUGAGAAAUAUGAACUAGUGAACAUAAUCCAUAAACUCCAUUUGGUUACUAUAAUACUCCAAUCUGUAUUUAUUACAACCCCACUCUGAUGCUUAUACAACUGCAAUUGCUAGAUUUAUACACUCUAAUGGUUUCACAAUAGGAAAAACCUGUGUUCUUUAUCUUUCUUUUCCUGUCCAAAAUAACCCCUUCUACAUAUACUUCAGGCUUCUCUGGACCUUGUCUGGGUUUAAUCACAGGCUGUGGGACAAAAUGUGCAUUAUUAAGAAAUAUAAAUAUUUUCAGAAGCAAUCAAAGGGUUGAAAGAUUGAUUCGGCAUGUAGAUUGGAUUUAAUUUGAAGCAGCUUUGUUCUAAUGAGGACUACUGGGAUACAAAGACGGCAGCCGCUUAUGGCCACCAGUUGGGAACUUCAGCUCACUGCAGCAACCUGUCAAGAAUUUCAAGAAACUGCCAGGUUGGCGAGUACUGGGUUUUGGGCGGCUCAGCCAGCUCCUCCCUGGCGGGGCACGGUGGUGGCGUGCGCUCCGGUUGCUUCCCAAGAGACAGGGAAAAUAGUAAAGAACGUGGGAUUCCCCACAGGAGUUUGGAAGAUGUCCACGUCUACGACAAUGGUGAGGAUUGGGCCAAAAUCCAGAUCCAGACCCGGAUUCCUCCAUCUGAGUAGUCCUAUCUCGACCUACAACUGCUGACGAAUCACAGCGACGUGGACCUUUCUCUCUCCUUACUCCCCAGCACCAGAUCACCAAGGGGGCCUGAGAUAAUACUGGAUGAGCCACCACAAGACCACGACUGGAAAGCGUGGGGACCGAGCACACCGAGAGACGGUUGAUGCAGCUGGUUCCCUGUCUGUUGCUGGGUGGUGGCUCAGCUCUCGGUCAUGGCACAAACUACCAGAGGCUGGAGAAACAUCGCAUGAACUGCUCCUGCCCUGGUUCCCCCUUGUCAGUCCUCCAUGCUGUAUGAAGCCCUGAGAACCAAGCCAACCUGAGUGCAUGGCCAGGCGUUUGCUUCUCUCGUGGUCUAUUCCUGAAGCACAGUGCAAAGUUUCAUCCUUUGCUUCUGCAGAUGUACAUGGAUAUGCUGAUAAACUGCCAUUUAGUCCAGAGGCUGGACAAAAAUAAAUCACUGGAUAAAGUACAUUAUUCCUAGUGAAAACCUUCAUGGAACAUGUUCUUGCCCCAAAGCCCUCCUGGAAUAGGCACAGUAAUGCUCCCUGAGACCUGGCAGCCCUUCUAAGUGAGCAUAUGGUCUGCUCCGCUCUUGCAGUACCGGUGCACGGUGAGUAAACAGGCAGCGAUGUCAGAGCAAACAGGAGGCUGUUUAAUAGCAUGAAAUUCUGUAGCUACUUCAAACUUCAUCAGUACUUCAGAAAUGGAUUCCCUUUCUCUGCUGGAGUGUGCACCGUUUGCAGGAGAGGUAGGAGAAAACUGAGACAAUCUCUUUGGGGGUGGAUGGUGUCUGUAGCCAUGUCCCAUAAAGCUGAUGCUGCUGAGAAAGGGUCCUGGCGUGUCAGAAGUUGCAUUUUCUGGUGAUGCUCCAUUGCCUUCCUCAUUGUUCUGAGAUGUCUCCUGAUGCAAUGUAACUUGCACGGUAAUUGGAUUAGAGAGAGGGACCCGAAGGUAAAAAUCCCACUGUUAACCCAGGCUGGCGAAGGACAGAACAUUAGCUGCAGUAAUUGUAUUUCUGAGGGAGUCAACAAAGCCAGGCGCGUCAACGCUAGCGAGCAGAUCUGGUCCUGCCUCUGUGCUUCUUGCACUGGCAGAACAUUGCGCUGAAAUCACUGGAGUAGGGAUCGGGCCAGGAAUGAGCGGCUGAGUUGCAAAGCAAAUUAAUUCCUGCCAAAAAAGUUCAGCUAUGCUCAGAAGUAUGUAAAGUGUCUGAUUUGAGAAGUGUCAAGUAGCAUUUGUGACCAAUUAUCCAAGAUGAAGGGGGCAGAGCUAUGUUUACAUGUACUAAUCUUCAGCCAAAGUUUGAAAACUCCAAUUCAUGGACACGCAUCAAAUUUCCUUUCCAGGCUUGGCAUUUGCCUGUAUGCACGCACGCACAUUGCUUGGGGAUGACAGGAAAACAUGAUUACCACUUGCAAAUAAUACAAAUAAAAAGAAAAAAAAAGUGAGGGGAGCUGCCAUGCAGCAGCAGCAUGGUAAUUAAGUCUAUACUGUGAUAUGUGAAAAAAACCCAUGGACCUCUGUAUGAGUAAAAUAAUAGCUUUAUCAGCUGAGCUGAAAUAUGAUGUGUGGUGUGUCUGUAUUGUUAUUUUUCCACAACCUCUGAAAUCCUGGGAAAAGAUCUACACAAAAGAAUAAGAAGUAAAAGCUGCCUCUGCCACCUUCUGUUUAAUUAACACAGGUAUACCAAUUUAAUGCAAUUAAUCAAGAUAGGGAUUAAACAGUAACUCAGAGUUGACAAUGACAAUGUUGCCAUUGCUAUGGCAUAGAAGGGGUACAAAAUGGUAGUGGUGACUAGAAACACUGUAAGAACAAACUGGCUGGAGUUUUUGGGUGAGUUUUAGAGAUUUAUGCAGAUCUGUUGAAAUCUAGGGGCAGCUGAUUUUUCAUGUGGCCAAGUGUUUAUCUGCCCCUGCCCUUCCCUUUCCCCUCUCAGACCUUCCAGAGUAACCCCCAGAGUGGCAACAACUUUUAAAAUGAUUUCUCUUUCUUCUAACAGGUUUCUGAUGCUAAAGGUCUGACCUUAAAAUGAGCGGUGCAUAGGGCAAGAAUGGGUACCGCAGUGAGCUUCUGGCCUUCAACCCUUCCAAAUACAGCUAUUUUGGUAACCAGAACAGUGUAUUCAUGAUAGGUGAGGGAACAGAGCCUUCCAGGGAAGGAUUUCUCAGCACAUUAACUCUAUCAGUGCUGGUUGCUGUGUCCCUAUGCAGGUUUCCUGUGUCUAUUUAAGACCCUAAAUGCAGAUUUGCAGAAGUCUGCAGCUUUCUGCAAAUUCAUGGCCAUACUUCAGUGCCUGCUGUGCCUAAAAACUGAACCAUUCUUGCUGGGGAUGUCCAUGUAGAUCUGGGGAGAACUGCAAUCACAUGCCCUGUAAGCAGUUCAGGCUUGGAUUUCUUGUCCGCAGGAGAGGCACAGCCUGGUUUGCUGCAAUGCAACUGUCCUCAUUAAUGUAUUUCAAGCCCUGAUGUACUGAGACCACCACGGUGGGGUAAGAAGAUGGUUGAGUUUUCCGGGCUCAUUCUCGUGGCUUAAGAACGUUAAAUUGGGUGAUAAUGAGUAGUAACCAUGUCCCUUUUUAUGGUGAAGUUGACACUUGCCUUCUAGUAAACAGACACAGAGAUGACCCUCCUCAUUUCGCACAGGUCACCAAACAGCCCCUGGGAUGGUGAGGGUUAUUGGCCAUUUACCAAACGCGGUUUGACUGGGGUUCAUGGGUGAGAGAUGAAAGGCACUAUAUUGCAUUACCAGUCCCUGGGGCCAGCCGGUCUCCCUAAAGCAGCAUUUCAUUUAGCAAGGCAACUGCUGGCCCAUGGGAAUUGGAGAGCUAAGAAAAAGAGGACGCAGUUUCAACUGCAAAUGCUUCCUUAGGGCAGAUGUCUUAAAGCCACGCUCAAACUCGCUGCUUCAGUGUCACAAUAGUUGCUCCAGGACAUUUAAUGGCCAGCAGAUUUUCCCCAUAAUUAAUUUCCCCUUCUUACCAAAACAUCCAUUAGGUUACUCCUGGUGCUUCUGCCUCUGCCCUGUUCUGUUUUGCUCCCUCUCCCUGGGGACAUGCCCCGUACCUGGGGCAAGCCCAACGCCGCAGGUAUGAACUGUUACCUUUUCUAAGAGCUUCAAAAUCUAGGCAGCAUGUGCCUUCCCUGUCUCCCAGAUGAAACAAGCGGCCUUGGUACCACACUUAGAGCUGUUGGGAGCUUGGGAGGAGAGAGGCGUUCUCCUGAACUUCCCAACUGUUUUCAAUGUCCUAGAGCUGAGACGCUGACUGAUUUUUGUGGCUACAGUGGAGUGGUCCUUGCUAUCGGGGCAGUCCUUUUUACAGAUGAUGGAUGCAGUGCUUAAUGCUGCAAUAGUUACAGGAAGGAGGACUGCUCAGACCAAGAAUUCAGCCUGGACCCAUCCUGAAUUUCUUAUGAUCUCAAAAUCCAAUGUUGUUCCAAAUUCAUUAGCACUGGUCAAAAUCCUCUUUCGCUUUUCUCCCUUGCUGUUUGUGACGUGAAUCGUGAGACCUUCAGAAGUUGCGUUUGUUGUCUGAUAGUUUUACAUCAUGGUUGUAAUAGUGCAUCUGUCGAGUCAGCAGUUCUUUCCGUGUUUGUUUGUUUAUUUAAUAUUACAUUUCCAGCAAGUUCUUGUUACCCAGUUCCUGCUGACGCCCAGGGAACAGGCACAAGUCAGCUCAGAAAAUGAACGACUGGAAGUGCCGUCUUCAUCUCUGGUUUUGGCAUGACAGACUAUGUGGUCUCAGUGAGACUGUGCCAUCUUGUUCCCUGCUUUCAGGCUGGGUUCACAAGCUGGAUUUCAAAGAAGCAACUUUGAUGCAGAGAUGUGACUGGAAUAGGAACAGUAUUCCAGGGUGCACCUCAGCUCUGGCUUGAGAUCACACCAUUAAGCAAUGAGAUGACAAACCGGUUUCCUUUCUCAAGCUGAAUGUCACGUAACUGCCCAGGGGCCUGUUUUGGUGACGGGAGCAUCCCUUGACUUUUCAAGGAGAGAUAUGCCCGUGCGACCCUUUCCCACCCCCUACGCUUGGCAGGAGGAGACAAAACUGCUCAUUUCCAUCUGUGACAUUUCUUAGCCAGGAGGAAAGCCAUGAGGUAUCAGACUGUAGGCUGGGAGGCAUCAGGGCAGCCACCUGUUAGGCACUGACAAAGAAACCUCCAAAAAACCACCAAGUGGAGAUGAAUUCCCAGGGCUAAAACAAGCUGAUAUAAAGGGUGAUGGUACCUUUCUACCCACCCAACAAGAUUUGUUACUCCUAGAUGGGGCAGACAACAAACAUAUCCAACCCCAAAUGCUCUGCAGUUGAUAGAUCUGCUUUAGCGAAGAGAGCCUUGAUCAUGCUGCAGCAUUAGAAGAAGUGCAAAAGGCCCAAGGAGCAGUGCAGAGUAUGUAUUACCAACAAGAAAAUAGUGGGUGAAAAGCUGUUGUAACUCCUGGCUCCAGGAGCCUGUCUGGAGGCACAGACUCCCCAAGGCAGAGGGGAGUUGGAGAACUUGUGGUGUUCAGUGAGAUCUCACCACCCCCCGCCACAGAUUUAGCAGUCCAGGCCAAAGGAGUGGGGCAAGGUCCUCGGCUCUACUCCAAGUUCAUUCCUCUAUUGAUUGUGAAGAGGUAUUUAUAAUGGACCAGGAUCUUGAACCGAGACUAGCCUACCAGCUGAAGCUGUACGAACUGAAUCCUAUAUUCCCCAACUACAGAUAAAACCAAUGGCCAGUUUUAGCCUAAUCAUCACUUCUGCCAGAGGAAAGAGAAAUUCUUUGAGGUAAGUUCCCUUGGAUAUAAUUCUUUCUUUCCAGGUUAAAGAAGGGCUGCAGCUAAUACAUAUCCUGAGUCGUAACGUGGAUUUGCACCUUUCCCGUUAAAUAUAGCUGGUUCUUGUCCAAAGCAUCACUUCUAUUCCUAACGCUCACUUAUAUCGUUACAACUUCUACAUUAGUUGCAGGUGUGAAAUGCCAACUGAUCCACACUUCUGUUGCUGUCAGCGGGAGAGUAAUGUAUGUCAAAGGCCUGAUUCUCAGAGGUGAGGUCACCAGGAUCUCCAUUUGCACAUCUGCUUUGCUAAACACAAAACUCUGGAGAUUUGCAAAGCUCCAAUAUACACAAAAUGGGAUGAGUUCACUGGGGUCCAUACAUAAGAAACUGUUUGUGCUUCUCAUUUAGUAGGCAGGUUGCAGAAUUUUCCCCUCUAUACAAAAUAUUUGCUGUUUUACAACAGGCAGCAUUUUGCUAGACUGCAUAUAUGUAUAAUUGUGUGUUCUAUAUUAAUAAGGAAAACGGCUACACUUCUCCAUGUUACAUGAUACGAGAGAAGUCAGGAUACCAACAGGUUAAAAAAGAGCCUAAUAGAUUAAGCAGCUUCAGAAAGUUACUAGUAUCUAAUGCAUCCCUGCUUCCUGAUCAGAGCACCCGGAGGGAUGAUGCUCCUGGAGCCUGCCUUACACAGAGGCAUCCAGAUUUGGUUUUGAGGGCUUCAAGAGAACCAUUCAAAUAUUUCCACUUCCUGCUGUUAGUGGAUUUUGUUUUUUUUUUUUUUUUUCCAUACCUCAGAAACGUCUUCUGAUUGUAAUGUGUUUGCACUCGAUGCCUAGAUAAUGGUUCAUUCUCAGGAACCUCUAAUCCACAGUGUUUUCUGCCUUCUACAUUUUACACGAGAUCAAAGACUAAUCAUAUAUAUACGCCUAAUUCCUUUUUGAUUUCUGUUAAUCUAGAAUGUCCUUCAGUAAAGAUUCCCAUGAGUAAUCUAUAUGGACUAUUUUCUUUGUCUUCAUGUACGGUAAACAGUCAGCCUUUCAAUGUCAUCUAGUUAUGACAUCAUGAUUCUGUUUUUUCUGGACUUACAGGACAUUUUAAGCACAUGCAUCCGAGCAUCAUUCAUCACUAUGCACUAUACUUUUCCUCCCUCUGUUGACUAUUUCGGAAGUUUUUUUGCGAUAGUGGAACCAAAGUUGACCUUAAUAUCCAAAAUAAGAAAACAGAAUUGGUCAUCAGCUAUAUGUUUCCUUAAAUAGAAUUUAGAUCUACUAUCCCCAUAGUGACUUAAUUUGAACUCAAACCAAGUGAUGAUUUUAAAAACCCACAGCAUACUGGGGAAAGCCAGGAGGGGAACACACAGGUCAGAGUAGGUUUCAUGAACAUCUGAGAUGCCAACCCUGAGACUGUGCUGCUCAAAAUGGACAUCUCCUUAACGAGGCUGUUAAACAUAAUUUUCACAAGGAUCAGAAGAGAUGCACUUUUAAUACUGAGGAAGGGAAGCAUUUGCUUUUCAGAGAAAAGUUUGAUUCUGGAAAAUACUCAUUUUGGUAUGUUAAAGGAACUGCGCUGUAGCAGACAGCAUGGUUUGUAUGGCUUCUCAUGGAAGUGGCUAUUGAAUUCAUUGAAGUGGCUAUUGAAUUAAGAAGUGUCCUUUCCCCCUGAAACUUACAGCAGAAAUUCAGAGCAAAAAUUUGUCAUGUUUCAUCAGACUGACUUCAUUACCUUCGUGAGUAAUAGAAAUUACAUUUGUUUCCCUGAGCUGUACAAUUAGACAUAAUAAACCCAUGAAAAGAAACAGGGAAAAAGAAGAGAUGCUGAUUUUCUUGGGAAGAAAUACAGAAAACUUGGGCUUGAAAAAAUGUUUGAGUAUAAUGCUCUGGAUUUUUAAAGAAAGUUUAAAGAAACAUUUUCCAAGUGCAUGCCUGUUAGUUUAACUUUUAUUUUUGCCAUGUAUAAUUAUGAGAAAAUUACAGACAACUCAUAAGAUUUUUAGUUACUGUUGAGAAUUCUCUUUUCCAAGAUAAUUCUGUAUGCUAUUACUUUACCCCACUGGGUAUCAUGUAGGCAAGGUGUAAGAUUAUGCACACGAAUAUUUCUGUCUACUACUUAUGUGUGCUGGGACAAUAUCAACUUAUACUUUCUUUUGUCGUUGGUCUUUAUUCUAUAGAGGAUGUUCUUAAUUACCAGCAAGACAAUUUGGUAAUAUCAUGUAAAGUGUUACAGCAUCAUUUCUGUGAUGAUUUACACCUGCUAAGGGUCUGAUCAUUGAAUUUUUAACCGUAUUUUAACUUCAGAGGAUAGAGAAUAUUUUUUCUACAGAACACUUUCUAUUUUUAAUAGAAAUAUGCUCCUUUGUUUAAUUUAUUGGCACAGUUCUUCUAAAUGAUACGGAGCUUUUGAACAUGAAGACAUCAUUUCUGCAUGUUUGUGCUGCCCUGAAAAAUUAAAAGCACACUUCUGUACUGGUUUAAAUCAACUCAAGUCUAAACGCCUAAACACUAUUUUCGACAACUAUGAGGGAUGUACUUUUACAGGGAUUCUAAAGAAUACAAAACUAAAAAUAUCUCAGUUGCAGAACAAAUUCAUUGUAUUCCUUCCCCCACUUCGUGAUUGUGGUUAUACUUUUUUUUUAAUCCUUGCAGGUUUAUUCCUAAGUCUGUUGGAAAUGAUUCCAUUGACUCCAGCAAACUAUGCUUUCUACUGGAUUAAGAUGUUUGCACGUCAGAUUUGCUGGUGAUGUCCCACUAAUGAAAUGGGGAAUUUCAUAAACACAUCAGGGAGGGCAUUUCUGCCGCUGACACAGUGAAGGAGUAGCUGGACCUUUGGUCUAACCCAGUACAGCUACUGCCAGGCAAGACAAACGGUUAUCUGCAAACCUGUUGUUCUCUCCAGAAACCCGUGAAAAAACUCAGGUUUUCUUGUCAUUUUGCAAAGCAAGAUGAGGCAAAGAAGCAGGACGGGCCUUGGGAAGAAGGAUGGAGCCUUAACAGAAGGAAUUGCUGAAGAGUUUACACACUGGCAAAGAGCGAGCAUACAAGUUAUUCAAAACCUAUGACAAAUUCUUACUUCAACAGAAACCCUUUAGAUCCGUCCUAUUUGCGCGCAAUGGAAAGGACAACAGGAUGUAUGUAUACAGGCCUUGAGAAAUACAAGCUUUUACAUGAACAGAUACUCAGAAUUAUGGAUAAAUUCAGCUGUGUUUGAAGUUUUCAGUGCUGGAUCAACUCAGAACAUGAAGUUCUCAGUUAUUCCUCCUCAGAAGCCAUCCCAAGCAAGAACACCCUGAGAUACUGAAUUGAUGAUAAAAGUGGAUUAUAUCUGGGGUUUUGAUGAAACCUUUGUAUUGAAAUGCGCCAAACAGGUGAAAAGGUUCAGAGGAAACAAUGUGGUUUUCAUGAAGUUUCUCAACUGAAAAAAAUAUGUUAAAGAUGUUUCAAAAUUAUUGCAAGUGUCCCGAUAGAUAUUUUUCUAAAUGAUCAUUUAUUGGCUUUGAAGUAUGUUUUGGUUUUAAUUUUUAAUUUAUAAGUGAAAGCAAAAGAUGAAAUAUUUUGAAAUUACUGAA